GACGAACGCUGGCGGCGUGCUUAACACAUGCAAGUCGAACGAUGAAGAAGAGAAACGCGAACUUCGGUUCAAAUUUCACUUCGGAUUAGUGGCAGACGGGUGAGUAACGCGUGAGCAACCUUCCUCUUACAAAGGGAUAGCCUCGGGAAACCGUGAUUAAUACCAUAUGACACAUUCAUAAGGCAUCUUAAGAAUGUUAAAGCUACGGCGGUAAGAGAUGGGCUCGCGUCCCAUUAGCUAGUUGGUGAGGUAACGGCCCACCAAGGCGACGAUGGGUAACCGGCCUGAGAGGGUGAACGGUCACAUUGGAACUGAGACACGGUCCAAACUCCUACGGGAGGCAGCAGUGGGGAAUAUUGCACAAUGGAGGGAACUCUGAUGCAGCGACGCCGCGUGAGCGAUGAAGGAAUUCGUUUCGUAAAGCUCUGUUCUAUGGGAAGAAAAGGACUGUACCAUAGGAGAAAGCCCCGGCUAAAUACGUG
RNAcentral lists this ribosomal RNA (482 nucleotides) under uncultured bacterium. RNAcentral describes it as "partial 16S ribosomal RNA". It matches the Rfam family "Bacterial small subunit ribosomal RNA", at positions 28 to 507 of the family's 1533-position model. The record is from RNAcentral.